CUGCGAGGACAGGAUCUGGCAUCCUAGCCAUCCUGCCAGCUGUUGAGACUGUGCGCAACAUUCAGCCUCAUGAAACAGGAGGCUCAGGUAGCCCCUCCCCGCCAGCACCCGGUGUCCCUCAUAGCCCGGACACUGCAGACCCAGGGGCGCUUCGACUCGGGAAGCAGCUGCUGCCUGGUCCACCCGGGGAAGAUGGAGAACAGGCUGACAUGCUUCCUGUUGUCCCAGCGCCCCUGAGGAUUGCAGCUGAGUGAGCACCCACCCCACAAUGUCCCGAGCCCACCCUCCUCCACAGUUGCCAAGAGCUGGGAGACACUGCUGUGAACGGACACCUGGUGCCAGCCCCCAGCCUGGCGAAGGACAGGUGCACAGAGGCCUGGCACCGGGAGUGCGGGGCCUCAGCUCGUCUCCCGGGAGGUCAGGCGAGUCCGAACCCCUGCCUUGGGCAAGCGCGCAGGGCCGGAGAGGGAGAGGGGCUGGCCCACCCCGUGGUGAAGGACAGGAGGCUGAAACCGGGUCUUCCCGGCACCAGACGGCUUCUCAGGAGGACGGCGGGAGAGCAGCUGUGGGGUAGGUCGUGGGGAAAGAGCCUCGGCCACCCAGGGAGCCCCGAGGCCCAGGGGGGCCGCUGUGCAGGCUCGUCCUGUGGGCCCAGCCAGGGGACGCUCUGGAGACCAGCUCCUCUGAGUUGCCCGUGUGGCACACACCCUGGGCCCGUCUGCACAGAGGGGCCCUGCCACCUGCCACCCCAGCAUCGGCCCUGCCUCAGCUCCACUCCUGCCUCCCCGUGGAAGGCAGCUGGGGACCAGUUUCUCCUGUGACUGUGGCACACACCCACAGAUUGUCACUGGGACUUGACCCCAGUGGGUUUGGCCCUAGGUCCUACUCACUUCCCAGCCCGACUCUCCUCUCACACGGCCAGGCAGUGCCACGGUGCUCUCCGUGCCACUGACAUUUAUUGGGCUGUCACCCCACACAAGUGGCUCCUCUCACUCUCCAGGGCACUAAAGCCCCUACCCCAGAGGCCACCGGGAACCCCAGAGCAUCCUGGGCUGCAGCCUUGGACCAGGGGGAUCAGGCAGUGGACCCUUCUUCCUGGAAGCCACACUGACACACACACAGCAGCAGCUCAAAAGCUCAGACUUGAGAACAAAUCUUUUAGUAGCUUUUGGUAGCAAACAGGCAGCUCUGCGGCAAAGCUGGAGGGCCAAGAGCCACUGUGCUCCUCAAUGCACCCUCUGGGCCGCGGUUUCCACACCUGUGAAAUGUACCCAUUUCAUAGAUGGGGAAGUUAAGGCACACAAGGUUCAAGUGACUUCCGCAAGUUCUCAUAGCAGUGUGGCCCUUUCUCACGGGCCUAUGUCUGCCCACAUCUGCCCUUUGCUGUCUGCCCCAGGCCCCUCUGCCCCACGGCCUCCCCCAGAACCUGAACCCCAAGCCCUGUAGUUCCUGCCCUUCUUCUAGCAGGAAACUAGCAACAGAAAGGCCAAAGGCCACAGGACAAGGACGGCAGGGUCCAGACUGGUCUUUAACAAGUCUGGAGAGUCCCAUGGCCCUGCAAGGACAGUGCCUGGAGCGGUGCCUCAGUGAACAGCCAGAUGAUGCGGGUCCUGGCGAACUUCUCGCUGGCAGCAAGGUCUGAGGGGCCGCCAGGCUCCAGGCCCCCCGCCUGUUCUCCACGCCACACCCAAAGGUAGGUUGAAGAGAAGGGACCUGACAGAAGCUGAGCCUCCAGCACCCCUGGGGACCUAACAGGACCUGGAGGAAGGGCCUGGCCCUCUGCCGGGACAGCCACAUCCUCAGGCUUGGAGCACCCUUCCGUCCCAACCAUGAGAGGGGCCACGGCCACUUCAGGGGAAGAAAGACGCUUUUCCUGGUCCUGGCAAGAGGCCCAUCCCACAGACGCCAAGGAAGGGUCUAGCAGGGAAGCAAAGACUGAUAAUGCAAGACAAAGGAGAGCAGACCACUGCCAGAGCGGACAGCCAGGCUGUAAGCGGAGGCGCUGACUGUGGAAUCUCACUACCGGUGGAAGGGCAGCACCCGUGAAUACAUACGAACCAAGGAAGCAAAACCGAAAAGGGACCGGUGAAGUGAGCCGAUCUCCACUGCUCUGAGCGGGAGGCGUGCGAGUGGCCGGGCGGGCCAGUCAGAUGACGUGGCAGCAGCUGGCCUGGCUGGAGGCGCACAGCAGCCCCUCCUUAGGGUUCCGCUGGAUGUUCACAGAGAUGGUCUUUUCACACAGAGACACUUCCGCCCACUCGCCGUGGGUUUUAAGCCUGUAGGCGGCACCGUAGACAGUGCUGGUCCAGCCAACUCAGGGAGGUCAUCUUUCUUAGCUGAGUCACACAGGCCUUUGCUCCUGUGGCCAUUGAGGACAUUGUCGGCAGCCCGAGCAGGAGACUGAGGGACAGUCGCGUGGGACAAAGGAGUGGCCGUGAGGUCAUCCUCAAGGUCCUGGGAAUUAUCUGGCCGGAGUCGAUAUCAGAUGCCUGCCCCUCUACCUGGCUCCCCCUGGAGAGUUCUGUGUCCCCGGCUCUCCACGACAGGCUGGGGGAAGAGUCUCUGCGGUCUGCAGACGAGCCCCAAAGCAGUCACAAGAGCUGUAGAUGUGAAAUAAAUCUAAAUGCCUGUGCCCCUCUCUCAGACCUCAUAUUCUUCCAUACAAAAAUGUAUCAGGGCAGCCCUACAUUUAUUCAUAUUUUUAAGAAAGUAAAAAGCUA
Molecule: long non-coding RNA, 2720 nt
Organism: Lemur catta (Ring-tailed lemur)
Lineage: Eukaryota; Metazoa; Chordata; Mammalia; Primates; Lemuridae
Exons: 6
Source: RefSeq, a predicted model, not a curated record